GACAGAGGUGCCAAGCGUUAGGCGGAAUCACUGGGCUUAAAGCGUGUGUAGGCGGAAUUGUAAGUACCUUGUGAAAUCCCACGGCUCAACCGUGGAACUGCUCGGUAUACUGCUUUUCUUGAGCCACUUAGGGGCUGUCGGAACAAACGGUGGGGCGGUGAAAUGCGUAGAUAUCAGGAGGAACACCGGUGGUGUAGACGGCUUACUGGACCACGACUGACGCUGAGGCACGAAAGCGUGGGUAGCAAACAGG
Molecule: ribosomal RNA, 253 nt
Filed under: uncultured bacterium
Lineage: Bacteria
Description: partial 16S ribosomal RNA
Rfam family: Bacterial small subunit ribosomal RNA
Source: RNAcentral